ACCAUAGACCUAAUCCCUAAUCCCUUAUUCCGUUCUCCACUUCUCCAUCGUCUCUCACCGCCUCUGCGCCGCCCUCGGCGACACUCCGGUCAGUGAACGCUAGCUUCUGUUUUGAAGUAAAGCUUUGACAAAAGGUAUCAAUUGUACUCCAGGUAGCAGUAAAGAAGGAUAUGAGUGCUUUCAAUGCUUUCAAAGCCUGUGCUCCAAUUGCAUGGAGCCCAAAUCUGUACAUUACGCUUGUAAGAGGUAUUCCGGGCACUAGGAGGCUCCAUAGGCGAACCUUAGAAGCAUUGCGUCUUCAGAAAUGCAACCGAACAGUGAUGCGGUGGAACACCCCUACUGUCAGGGGAAUGCUCCAGCAGGUGAAACGGUUGGUAGUUGUUGAAACAGAAGAGAUGUACAAGGCACGAAAGGAGAAAGCAGCUAACCACCGUGCCCUGCGCCCCCCAUUGGUCAUAAAUCACCAUCCAGCUUCUGCAACCAGUUCCAGUCAGUAACGGCUGAAUGCCGCCAUCCCUUUGCAGGUGCAAUGGAGUAAGGGAAAUUGGCAUUUCAAUACGCUGCAAUAUAGCGCCAUUGAAGUGUGGAUUUCAUGGUCCCAGUAAUAAGAGAAGACGAUAGACAUUUCACAUUGAUGGAUUUUAGAGUUUCUAUCCUCUUGAACUUUUGAGCAUAAUUGUAGUUUUUGGCCAAUAGCAAGGUAGGUUCUUCAAGUUCAAGACAAAAUGUAUCUCAAUGGUGAAUCACAUUUGUGUUUUAUACUGGUUUAAUUCAUGGUCUAGAUUGUGGUAUGGGUGUAAAUGAGACUUGAAUAGUCAAAGUUUGAAGCUCGAGUUCGAUCAAAUACUAAUUAUUUGA
Ipomoea nil (Japanese morning glory) is the source of this 858-nucleotide long non-coding RNA. RefSeq lists it as uncharacterized. NCBI's taxonomy places the organism in Eukaryota, Viridiplantae, Streptophyta, Magnoliopsida, Solanales, Convolvulaceae. The record is from RefSeq and is a predicted model, not a curated record. The transcript has 4 exons.